UGGUUCUGGCAUCGAUGAAGAACGCAGCGAAAUGCGAUACGUAGUGUGAAUUGCAGAAUUCAGUGAAUCAUCGAAUCUUUGAACGCACAUUGCGCCCUUUGGUAUUCCAAAGGGCAUGCCUGUUCGAGCGUCAUUUGUACCCUCAAGCUUUGCUUGGUGUUGGGCGUCUUUGUCUCUCACGAGACUCGCCUUAAAAUGAUUGGCAGCCGACCUACUGGUUUCGGAGCGCAGCACAAUUCUUGCACUUUGAAUCAGCCUUGGUUGAGCAUCCAUCAAGACCACAUUUUUUUCAACUUUUGACCUCGGAUCAGGUAGGGAUACCCGCUGA
RNAcentral lists this unclassified non-coding RNA (328 nucleotides) under uncultured fungus. RNAcentral's name for it is "partial contains 5.8S ribosomal RNA and internal transcribed spacer 2". The stretch from base 1 to 133 matches the Rfam family "5.8S ribosomal RNA", at positions 22 to 154 of the family's 154-position model. The record is from RNAcentral. Lineage: Eukaryota; Fungi.